Molecule: unclassified non-coding RNA, 173 nt
Filed under: uncultured Trichoderma
Lineage: Eukaryota; Fungi; Ascomycota; Sordariomycetes; Hypocreales; Hypocreaceae
Description: sequence contains ITS1
Source: RNAcentral
CCGAGUUUACAACUCCCAAACCCAAUGUGAACGUUACCAAACUGUUGCCUCGGCGGGAUCUCUGCCCCGGGUGCGUCGCAGCCCCGGACCAAGGCGCCCGCCGGAGGACCAACCAAAACUCUGAUUUUAUUGUGAAUCUCUGAGGGGCGAAAGCCCGAAAACAAAAUGAAUCA